CCCUCUGGGCGUAAAGUCCCCUGCAAGGAGUGAGAGUGCGGCCGGCCCUGGAAAUCAGCAAAUCUGUACUCUGUGAGAGAUCCUGCGAGAGGAAACUGGGAGCCAGGGAGAACUAAAAUUACCUUUUCAAAGUAAAUUGUUUAUUGAGCAGCAGAGCUGGAAUGAGAGGCGAUGUUUGUCGUUUUUGACACUCCCCCUUCUUUCUGGACCAUCCAUCGCCUAAAUACUGUGGAACAAACGGAAUGCGUGGUUGUAUUUCUAAAAGCGCAAGCAGAAAAUUUAUUGAAAACUUGGAGCAGAAAUCUUUAAUGUACUUCUGACCACUCUUCCUUUUGUUGAGUAGGAUCCAAUGAUUGGCAUGAAACUAGUUAUUAAACUUGCUUGAGAUGGCUAGUCAAACGUCGGAAAUAAAAGAAAAUGUCAGUAGCUAGACUUUUACAAUUUUUUUUAAAAGGUAAAAGACGUGAACCGUUGUCUGCCUUAAUGUCAAGGUAGCACUUAUUAUGUUCUCUGACAAAACCAAGGAAUACGAAAAUCUUUUAUCAAAACAAC
Molecule: long non-coding RNA, 552 nt
Organism: Sapajus apella (tufted capuchin)
Lineage: Eukaryota; Metazoa; Chordata; Mammalia; Primates; Cebidae
Exons: 2
Source: RefSeq, a predicted model, not a curated record